CUACGGGACGCACCAGUAGGGAAUCUUCCACAAUGGGCGAAAGCCUGAUGGAGCAACACCGCGUGAUCGAUGAAGGCCUAACGGUUGUAAAGAUCUUUUCUGAGAGAAGAAUUCUGACGGUAUCUCAGGAAUAAGCGACUGCUAACUACGUGCCAGCAGCAGCGGUAAUACGUAGGUCGCAAACGUUAUCCGGAAUGAUUGGGCGUAAAGCGUCCGCAGGCGGCGAAAUCAGUCGGAUGUUAAAUAUUAUAGCUUAACUAUGAUGCUGCAUCCGAUACUGUUUUGCUAGAGACAUUUCAGAGGCAAGUGGAAUUCUGUGUGUAGGGGUAAAAUCCGUAGAUACACAGAGGAACACCAAAAGCGAAGGCAGCUUGCUGGGAAUGUUCUGACGCUCAUGGACGAAAGCGUAGGUAGCGAACGGGAUUAGAUACCCCCGUAGUC
This 441-nucleotide ribosomal RNA is filed under the name uncultured bacterium. RNAcentral describes it as "partial 16S ribosomal RNA". It matches the Rfam family "Bacterial small subunit ribosomal RNA", at positions 339 to 795 of the family's 1533-position model. The record is from RNAcentral.